RNAcentral lists this ribosomal RNA (467 nucleotides) under uncultured bacterium. Its description in RNAcentral is "partial 16S ribosomal RNA". It matches the Rfam family "Bacterial small subunit ribosomal RNA", at positions 28 to 507 of the family's 1533-position model. The record is from RNAcentral.
GACGAACGCUGGCGGCGUGCUUAACACAUGCAAGUCGGACGGAAAGGCCUCUUUCGGGGGGUACUCGAGUGGCGAACGGGUGAGUAACACGUGAGUAACCUGCCCUUGACUUUGGGAUAACUUCAGGAAACUGGGGCUAAUACCGGAUAGGAGCUCCUGCUGCAUGGUGGGGGUUGGAAAGUUUCGGCGGUUGGGGAUGGACUCGCGGCUUAUCAGCUUGUUGGUGGGGUAGUGGCUUACCAAGGCUUUGACGGGUAGCCGGCCUGAGAGGGUGACCGGCCACAUUGGGACUGAGAUACGGCCCAGACUCCUACGGGAGGCAGCAGUGGGGAAUAUUGCACAAUGGGUGGAAGCCUGAUGCAGCAACGCCGUGUGCGGGAGGACGGCCUUCGGGUUGUAAACCGCUUUCGCUCAUGACGAAGCUUUGUGUGACGGUAGUGGGUAAAGAAGCACCGGCUAACUACGUG